AAUUUGUGAAUUAUUAAGUGACAAACUGACAAAGUUGUUCUAGCUAGCCGUUGCAGGUGCUCUUAUAAGCCCACGACACAUUAUUGUUCGAAGUUUCCGACAAAAAUAAUCAUCAUGUCGAUAAUUCUCCGGCGAAAAAAUUUGAAACAACUCCUUCCAUUUUCUCUCUCCUCUACUUCUCUUCUGCCAUCUUCUUCAUCAUCUCCACAACACCUCCGCCAAUAUCACCGACACUCCCAAUCCCUUAAACCCACCAAUUUCCUUUCAUCUCAUCCCCAAUUUCCAGUAUUUCUCAAAUUAGGGUUAGGGUUUCAAGGUCGGCUCAAAUGGGAAGGAAGCUCCGACAAUUACGACCAAAUCAAGGCAGUCGUCAAUUGCCCUCGUUGUUCAAAGCAAAUGAAUGUUCUCUUCUCGAAUCGUCCAUUGUCAAUUACUCCCAACGAAGUGGGUGUUUAUCAAGCGUUGAACAUUUGUCCUCACUGCAAAACUGCGUUUUACUUUCGACCGUUUAAGUUGGCGCCAUUGCAGGGGAGUUUCUUUGAGAUUGGGAAGGUUGGAGGGAAGGAUAAGGAUAAGGAUGGUAUGAUGAUGGAAGGAAAGUUUGUGAAGGAUGAUGAUGACGACGACGACGAUGAUGAUAAUAAUGGUGAAGAUGAGAAUGAGAAGGUUUCUAUGUGGCAGAAGUUGAGGUCUUAUGUCAGGGAUCUUCCUCCUCCUUCUUCUUCAUCCGAGGGGUCGACACCGCUUUCCAGGGAGAAUCUUUGGGCUGCUUCUAGGGUGGAGUGUGAUAGUGUGCCUGGAGAAGUGCCCAAGGGAGGAGGAGGUGCGGUUGGAGAGAGAAGCGGGUGGGGCGGAGCGAAUUUGGGGAAGAGUUUGCCCACGCCUAAGGAGAUUUGUAGAGGGCUUGAUGAGUUUGUCAUUGGGCAGGAACGAGCUAAGAAGGUACUUUCAGUGGCAGUCUACAACCAUUACAAGAGAAUACAUUACACUUCUGAGCAAAAUCAGUCAGGUGCAGAUGUAGAUGGCAAUGAGGUGAAACAGGAUGACUUUGAUCUUGUUGAAUUGGAAAAAAGCAAUGUCUUAUUGAUGGGUCCAACUGGUUGUGGGAAGACAUUACUCGCAAAAACAAUGGCUCGCUUGGUGAAUGUGCCGUUUGUCAUUGCAGAUGCAACAACAUUGACUCAAGCAGGCUAUGUUGGGGAAGAUGUUGAGUCAAUAUUGUUUAAGCUACUAACGGCCGCUGACUUUAAUGUGGAAGCUGCACAGCAAGGGAUAGUCUACAUUGACGAAGUGGAUAAGGUUACAAAGAAGUCUGAGAGCUCAAACAUUGGAAGAGAUGUAUCUGGUGAAGGUGUUCAACAAGCAUUACUGAAAAUGCUAGAAGGAACAAUAGUAAAUGUUCCGGACAAGGGUGCUCGGAAGAAUCCCCGUGGUGAUAGCAUACAGAUCAAUACAAAAGAUAUUUUGUUCAUAUGUGGUGGAGCAUUUGUUGAUCUGGAAAAAACUAUUUCUGAAAGGCGUCAUGAUUCAUCGAUUGGUUUUGGAGCACCAGUUCGUGCUAACAUGAGAUCUGGCAGGACAACUGAUGCUGUGGUUGCAUCUUCAUUAUUAGAAAUUGUAGAAAGCAGUGAUCUUAUUUCAUAUGGUCUCAUACCAGAAUUUGUUGGCAGAUUUCCAAUUUUAGUGAGUUUAUCUGCAUUGAAUGAGGAUCAACUCGUCCAGGUUGAUUUCAGCUCUCUUGUAGUUGAACCACCUAAUUCUUACAGAAAAUAUUUUCAUGAACUUGGUCCAUAUCUCUUUCAACCCCUCUCCCCUGGCUACCAAAAUGCAAAUCAGUACUAUAAUAUCAAUUUAUGUCCAAAGUCAUGAAGUAUGACUAUAACAUAUUGGCUGUUUAUGUCAGUUAAACAUUCUUGGGGAGUUUAAAUAAUGUGGCCUCGAGAAUUUGCUGCAAGUAAUAUCAACUUUUAAUCAUUGUGUGUUUAAUGAUUUGCCGAUGCCUGUAGAGGGAACAUAAAGGGAUACUGACAUGAUGUAGUCAUUAUAAAAUAAAUAAGUAAAGUUAUUUUAUAACAAAUUUAACUGUUAAUCAAACUCCAGAAAAUUAAUUUUUUUAGCUUAUCUACAACUUUAGUUAUCUAUAAAUUGAUUUAAGCUAAAAAUUAACAAUUUUUGUUAGCUUUAAUUAUUUUUUGUGAUUUAAUUAACACUUAAGUUAGCUUUAAAUUGAUUUUUGUUUUUUAAUUAACAUAUAUAGUCAUAUUGUCUAGUCAUCAUGGCAUUUUCAUUAAUAUAUCAACAAUAGUGGGACCCAUAUUUAAUACAAAAUUGUUGAUUUAUUUACAUUUUUGCCAUUUGAUAAACAAAUUUUGUUUAUCAAAUUGGUUAAGUGGGACUCCCUCAUAUACAGAAAAUAGUGCUGUUAGAUAAUCUAUGUUUUGGUUAGAUUUAAGUAUUUUUUGCUAUAUCAAUUAGAAUAUAUUUGUUUAAUUUCUACUUCGGCAACCGCAUAUCGUUUAGUGCACAAUGAUUGAUAGUUGGUAUUAUUUACAAUAGAUGCUGUAUUAUAUAGCACACAUCAGCGAUAGUUGGUAAUUUUAUAUAGCCAUUUCCCUUAAAAUAAAUCUCAUUACUAGAAAUAGGUUUAAAGUGAGUAGUUUACUUGUAUCAAUAGUAUAAUAUUAUAAGGUAUACCAGAAAUAAUAAUAUUGAUAUUUAUUUAUUUUUACAAAAUAUAAUUGUAAAAAAGUUUAGCUUUGAGCUCCCAACUUUUGUUGCGAUUUUUUGGGACCCGAACUUUUUACAAUAAUAACUGCAGAAUUCUCAUGUUCUCUUGUUUGUAAAAUCUAUGUUCUUUACCCUUUUGGAAAGCAGCAACAAGAAGCAGUGGGGUGCAAUCACAGUGGUUCCAGCUUGUUCUUCUAAAGACUUGUGUCAUCAUAACUAAGUUUUGCAAUCAGGCUCUUGAGUCUCGCUAAACUUGCUUGAGUUAUUUAUAAUGCUUUUUUGAAAUCUUAUUUUUGUGUGAGGAUCUUAUUUGUAUUUAGGAUUUGCGGAUUUGUAGUACUUCUCUUUGUAGGUCUCAUAUUCUAACUCAAGGGGUAAAGUGGGUGAUUACUGGGAAUGAAACUCAAUGGGCAUGGCUCACUCUAUUUUAAGGAACCCAUGAGACUGUUGGUAUUGAUUAACUGUUUCAUUGGCAGUGCAAUCUUGUAUUUUACAUUGCCAUAAAAAUGCAAUUAAAUAAGAAACUGAAGGUGUUAAACUCAUGUCAAUAUGACAGCCAUAUAAUUGUAGCAUAAUGCUAUUGUCCGUCUUUCCCUCUCCCUUCUCCGAAGUAUAUAGCUUCCGCCUCCAAAAAUGUGGUUUGCAGGUGACUUUUGCUCUUUUGGUUGUCUUCCAGGUCCUCAUGCAGCCAAGAAAUGCACUUGGUAAACAAUACAAAAAGAUGUUUAGCAUGAAUGAUUGAUGCAGGUCAAAUUUCAUGUU
Molecule: RNA transcript, 3489 nt
Organism: Chenopodium quinoa (quinoa)
Lineage: Eukaryota; Viridiplantae; Streptophyta; Magnoliopsida; Caryophyllales; Amaranthaceae
Gene name: CLP protease regulatory subunit CLPX2, mitochondrial-like
Exons: 12
Source: RefSeq, a predicted model, not a curated record